RNAcentral lists this long non-coding RNA (315 nucleotides) under Elaeis guineensis (African oil palm). RNAcentral describes it as "long non-coding RNA (EGUI_LNC031699)". Lineage: Eukaryota; Viridiplantae; Streptophyta; Magnoliopsida; Arecales; Arecaceae. The record is from RNAcentral.
AACUUUUAAAAUCAAAAAAUUUCUAUAAUAUAUAAUUUUGAAUAAAUAUAAUUAAUCAAUAAAGUUUUAAUAGUGUUAUAAUUAAUUAUGUCUAAGCUAUUGAAAUAUUAAUUCGCUCUCAAAACAGUAUCUUCACAUUUGAUGUUUAGAUGGAUAAAAUGGCAAAAAUACAUGUUGAAUCGAAUAACAUUUUCAUAUCCAAAGAUAUAGUGUUUGCUUGCAUUUAAUAUGCAUAUUUUGUUAAGUUCAUUAGUGAUAUGAUAUAUCACUAAAUAGAUAUAGCCAUUAGCAUGUCAUAGUACUCAUCCAAAAAAG